This 469-nucleotide ribosomal RNA is filed under the name uncultured bacterium. Its description in RNAcentral is "partial 16S ribosomal RNA". It matches the Rfam family "Bacterial small subunit ribosomal RNA", at positions 28 to 507 of the family's 1533-position model. The record is from RNAcentral.
GACGAACGCUGGCGGCGUGCUUAACACAUGCAAGUCGAACGGAAAGGCCCUGCUUGCAGGGUGCUCGAGUGGCGAACGGGUGAGUAACACGUGGGUGAUCUGCCCCUUACUUUGGGAUAAGCCUGGGAAACUGGGUCUAAUACUGGAUAGGACCAUGCUGUAGGUGGUGUGGUGGAAAGAUUAGUUUCGGUAAGGGAUGAGCUCGCGGCCUAUCAGCUUGUUGGUGGGGUAAUGGCCUACCAAGGCGUCGACGGGUAGCCGGCCUGAGAGGGUGGACGGCCACAUUGGGACUGAGAUACGGCCCAGACUUCUACGGGAGGCAGCAGUGGGGAAUAUUGCACAAUGGGCGCAAGCCUGAUGCAGCGACGCCGCGUGGGGGAUGACGGCCUUCGGGUUGUAAACUCCUUUCAGCCAUGACGAAGCCCUUGUGGUGACGGUAGUGGUAGAAGAAGCACCGGCUAACUACGUG